AUGUUAUUUCUAAACUAGCCCCAGAUCAGAAAAGAAAAGCAGCUUUGCUUGUUCAAGCAUUUGGAACGGUCGUUCCAUUAGUGGAACCUGGUACCAGUCCGAGGUCUAGUGUAUCUGCUUCUUCACAUGCAUCUCCAGUUCAAACGGCUACUGCUUCCUCAUAUGAAAAGGGUUCUAGAAAAAGGAAAGAAACCAAUUUUGGAAUCUCUCUUCAUAAAUCAUCAUGCCCUGACAUGAUUUACAAAGAUGAUCAAGACCAAGUCUGUGACUCCACAAAAAAAGAGGGCAUUCCAGAGUCUUGUUUUGAGCUCAAUGAGCCAAGUUCAGAAUCUGGUUUCAUUCAUAGUGCGCCAAGUAUUUUGACAUUUGAAUCCACUUCCGCAAACUUAAAGGAAAGUUUUGGAGUUCUCAAUCCUUGUAAUAGCGACCACAAUUACAAUGCCAAAGACAAUGACCCUGAUACUGUUAGUUACUGUUUAGUGGAGCCAAGAGAAGCUGCACAGACAGAACGGGGUGAGUCUUCCAGGACUGCCACUGCAGAAGACCAGGAUACUCUGACUCGCAUUGAGCUUAUAAUGGUGCAGAUAGAGCAAAAACUGCUGCAAGUAGAGCAGGAUAUUUCUCAAAUCCAUGCUCUCCUUCAGCUUAUAGUCUCCUUGCUACCUCCCCCAGCUCCCCAGUGAUGAUGAUAAUUAUUUUAUUUCCUUCUGAGAUAUAUGCAUCCUUAUUUUGCUGGAUAGUACAUUUUAUUACCUCCCACCCCCCCUCCCCAUUUUGGGAUAUUAUGUAUUCAUAUAUGUUGAUGUACAUGGGAUGUACAUGGUUGGAGGAGGGCUAGUUUGACUACUUGUAGGUUAUUAUUUUUUUUUGGAUGUGUUUAUACUAUGCUAAUUAUAUUUAUCUUCCUCAUGAAAUAUGUGUGUGUGUGUGAAUAUGUAUGGAUGUGCGCAGACAUAAAUUUGUAGGAAUGCUAAUGCUUAUAUCUAUAUACUUAUGUUAGAGGAAGUUAUGAAGGUAAA
Molecule: unclassified non-coding RNA, 1019 nt
Filed under: Hevea brasiliensis (rubber tree)
Lineage: Eukaryota; Viridiplantae; Streptophyta; Magnoliopsida; Malpighiales; Euphorbiaceae
Source: RNAcentral